Molecule: long non-coding RNA, 669 nt
Organism: Xenopus tropicalis (tropical clawed frog)
Lineage: Eukaryota; Metazoa; Chordata; Amphibia; Anura; Pipidae
Exons: 2
Source: RefSeq, a predicted model, not a curated record
UCCUGGAGGAAGACUGUAUUGCCCUGUUCACUAUGUUCAAAAGAAAGGCCUAUGUGUAUAACAAAGUGCAAGCAUAUAGGGCGGCUCUGUCUAACAAUGCAAUCAUUGUUCUCUCGCCAAGCUCUGCUAAACAAGGUGCAUUUUGUACCCAUCUUGUUUAAUUAAAACUCUGUUUCUUCUUGAAGAAAAAUAACAUUCAACAUCAAACAGCACUAUCAUUUUAUGAUACAGAAUGCAGUACAUUUAUAAGGGAGAUAAGCUGUCCAGGAAUGUGUUCCAAUGAACAGGAAUGACAGAAGAGAUCUGAAUCGUCCUUUUGUGAUAUUUGGUUGACCUUGAGUGACUGAUGACCAAGGAAAAGAAAAGGAGGGGGAUGCGCUUCUAGCCUUUGCCUUUGGCUAUACACCUUGCAGUUACAAUCUUUCCUGCGACCAUUGGCCAGAGCAAAAUCUUUCGUCUCUGAUGCUCCUGCGAUAUCAGCUGUCUCAGUAAUCCACCAAUCAUGCACCGAAUAUUGUACAAAACUAGGUUUCAUGUGAUAAUAUCGGUGUGUGUGUAUGGCCACCUUAAAGCUGAUACUCAGCUCAGACUAUCUUUGCUGCUCAGUAUCUGCUGGAGUAACCUUCUACAAAAAAAACAUUUACUGAAUAAACAAGAUUGUGCACCCUG